CCACAUAUGAAUAGGCUCCAAAGGACAAAUGCCUUUGAGAUGUAAGGAAAACAGCAAGACCCAACCUCAGAUCUUCUCCAUAGGCAUAGAAGGAAAGUGAAGUCAUGCAGCCCCUAGAGCCCCGAGGUAUCUACCUUCUAAAAAUGCACCAGGAUAAGAGAGAAGCUGGAAGAAAAAUAAAUGCAUAAGACUUCCCAGGCAAC
RNAcentral lists this long non-coding RNA (203 nucleotides) under Vulpes vulpes (red fox). RNAcentral describes it as "lncRNA (ENSVVUG00000022397.1)". The record is from RNAcentral. Lineage: Eukaryota; Metazoa; Chordata; Mammalia; Carnivora; Canidae.